Anastrepha obliqua is the source of this 473-nucleotide long non-coding RNA. RefSeq lists it as uncharacterized. The transcript has 2 exons. The record is from RefSeq and is a predicted model, not a curated record. Lineage: Eukaryota; Metazoa; Arthropoda; Insecta; Diptera; Tephritidae.
CCGCCGCUAACGAUUGGAAGCUUGCUGUACUAUAUUACUUUACUUAAUUUUUGAAAAUGGGUGGCUGCUGCAGUACAAGAAAAUCCGUUGAUUUACCAACUGUUCCACCCGCAACUGGAAGUUCCUAUCGUCAAGAUUAUCCAAAUCCUGGUAAGAAUGCGACUGGAAAUCCGACCCAAAAUGUUGGCAGCACAAACAUGGCACUGGAAAUGGACUAACACAUUAACAUAUUAUAUAUAUAUAGUAAUAUAGAAAUGUUUCCGAGAUGUUAAGUUUACAAUGUAUUAAUAAUUGUUUAAGAUUUUGGUAUAUAAUUAAGUAUUAAAAAAUCCUUUAAAAAGACGUAUUGUGGGUGCUAAGAGUUGUCAGUAUUUAAAGCUAAAAUUGGUAUUCGCUAAUACAUUUAUGAACAUAUAAUAAGAUAUACUCUUAUCAAUAAAAAUGCCCAUGAGUGAAACGAACUGGGCCAGUUA